Molecule: ribosomal RNA, 455 nt
Filed under: uncultured bacterium
Lineage: Bacteria
Description: bacterial SSU rRNA
Rfam family: Bacterial small subunit ribosomal RNA
Source: RNAcentral
GACGAACGCNGGCGGCGUGCCUAAUACAUGCAAGUAGAACGCUAAAGGAGGAGCUUGCUCUUCNGGNUGAGUUGCGAACGGGUGAGUAACGCGUAGGUAACCUGCCUGGUAGCGGGGGAUAACUAUUGGAAACGAUAGCUAAUACCGCAUAAGAGUAGAUGUUGCAUGACAUUUGCUUAAAAGGUGCAAUUGCAUCACUACCAGAUGGACCUGCGUUGUAUUAGCUAGUUGGUGAGGUAACGGCUCACCAAGGCGACGAUACAUAGCCGACCUGAGAGGGUGAUCGGCCACACUGGGACUGAGACACGGCCCAGACUCCUACGGGAGGCAGCAGUAGGGAAUCUUCGGCAAUGGACGGAAGUCUGACCGAGCAACGCCGCGUGAGUGAAGAAGGUUUUCGGAUCGUAAAGCUCUGUNGUAAGAGAAGAACGANGUGUGAGAGNGGAAANUCACAC